RNAcentral lists this ribosomal RNA (474 nucleotides) under uncultured bacterium. Its description in RNAcentral is "bacterial SSU rRNA". It matches the Rfam family "Bacterial small subunit ribosomal RNA", at positions 100 to 565 of the family's 1533-position model. The record is from RNAcentral.
GGACGGGUGAGUAAAAGGUAGGAGACCUACCUCAUACAGGGGGAUAGCAUAGAGAAAUCUGUGGUAAUACCCCAUGAGGUUAUAUGAAUAGAGGCAUAUAAUCAAAGUAUACGAGAGUAUGCGGUAUGAGAUGGGCCUACUGACCAUUAGCUAGUUGGUGAGGUAAGGGCUCACCAAGGCGAAGAUGGUUAGGGGUUUUGAGAGAGAGAUCCCCCACAUUGGAACUGAGAUACGGUCCAGACUCCUACGGGAGGCAGCAGUAGGGAAUAUUGGGCAAUGGGCGAAAGCCUGACCCAGCCAUGCCGCGUGAAGGAAGACGGCCUUAUGGGUUGUAAACUUCUUUACUAUACGAAUAGAGGUUAGUACGAGUUACUAAUAGGAAGGUAGUAUAGCAAAAAGCACCGGCUAACUCCGUGCCAGCAGCCGCGGUAAUACGGAGGGUGCAAGCGUUAUUCGGAAUUACUGGGUUUAAAG